GUUCCUGUCUGUUCCUCUCUGUCUGUUCCUGUCUGUUCCUGUCUGUUAAUAAGUGUUCCUGUCUGUUUCUGUUCCAGGAGGAGAUUUCUCCGGGAGUCCCUAUUCCCACCCUCAGUAUUCCACAUACAACGAGUCCUGGAGAUUUCCAAACCCCAGCCUGUUAGUGUUCCAACAGGACUAUGGGUCUCUCCUGGGGACGGAGAUCGGAUGUUCCUCUGGGCUCUUCACCGCCAGCCAGACGGGACAGAUGCAAGGGUCGCCGUACUACUACAGCACGGCAUCGCGAGGGGCGGGACCGGCUGCCACGGCAACUGCCUCCGCCUACGACCGCCACUGACCCCGCCCAUCAACGAUGAAGAGGAGGAUGAGGAAGAGGAGGAAGAAAGGAGAGAUAGCACCAGCACUGUCCAAUACUAGCCUGCCUACUGACGGAGGAGAAACAGGAAGGAGGGAAGGAGAAAGGAGAGGAAGAGGAGGAAGUGGAUGAAGAGGAAGAUGAGGACGAGGAGGAGGAAGAUGAGGAGUAACAGAAAGGAGAGAAGGGGAGAGGAGGAGGAAGUGGAUGAUGACGAGGAGGAGGAUCUGCUUUACAUCAGUAAACUCCCGACUGCACACUUUUGAUUGACACUCGAUCCGACCAAUCCCUGCUGAGCUGAGACACUGACCUAUUGCUAUUGCACCUGUUAUGAUAACGUGGAUGGAUGUACCCACAGAGACUGAUCCCAGGUCAGAUUAGACAUUUUACCACCUAAUGGGUAGGGUUAGGAUCUGGGGAGGGCAAGCUGAUCCCAGGUCAGAUUACACAUUUUACCACCUAAUGGGUAGGGUUAGGAUCUGGGGAGGGCAAGCUGAUCCCAAGUCAGAUUGUUGGUAUAUACACCCGGACUGUCGUCCCAGAGCUCUCCUAGUUGUCAUCCUGCCCCUCUGACCAGGGACUGAUUCAGACCUGGGACACCAGAUCUCAUAAUAAUAUGAUAAUAUUCACCGUUCUGUCAGAACCUGGAGGGCUGGAAAGGGAAAAGAAUCAGGGUCGUGCAUCCCAAAUGACACCCCUACGUAGUGCACUACUUUUGACCAGGGCCCAAUGGGGCAACAGUGCACUAUAUAGGGAAUAGGUUGCUUAGUGACACCCAAUGAGGUCGUUCCAAAGGCAAACCCUUUUCUGACACACCUUCCUGUUUCUGUCUGUAUUCUACCUGGACUUGUUUCAAUGCCUUUUAAAACAAAAUCACCUCUUCAAAUGCAUUUCAUACACAAUAGAAAUAUAUAGUCUUUGUUUUCUAAAGACAAGACGCAUCAUUUCUCUCAUCGUAUUACCACCGCAAACAAUCAGUC
This is a long non-coding RNA of Oncorhynchus gorbuscha (pink salmon), 1335 nucleotides long. RefSeq lists it as uncharacterized. The transcript has 4 exons. NCBI's taxonomy places the organism in Eukaryota, Metazoa, Chordata, Actinopteri, Salmoniformes, Salmonidae. The record is from RefSeq and is a predicted model, not a curated record.